GCUUCCCAAGCUCUGCUGAGGCUUAGACCCAUGGACCUAUUGAUGCGAGUAAGGCUCAGGGAAGCAGGGAUGGGGUGACAGGGGUCUGUACCCCAUGUGCUGGCUGUGACCAGUGCUUGCUGUGUUUCUCAGCAGUGUGUCUCCCGCCACAUGUCAGAGCUGACCUCACUUCUUGCCAGUAACUCCCCAACGAUGAAAGCAGAUACGAACAGUGGGCUCCUGUGCACUGGGUCUGCUUCCAUGGGUAGAGCCCCCACUCCAGAUGGAUUCGAGCCCUCGCUGCCACUUCACCCCUCUCCCUGUUGCAUCAUUUCCC
This 316-nucleotide long non-coding RNA is filed under the name Amazona collaria (yellow-billed parrot). Its description in RNAcentral is "lncRNA (ENSACOG00000001199.1)". Lineage: Eukaryota; Metazoa; Chordata; Aves; Psittaciformes; Psittacidae. The record is from RNAcentral.